Molecule: ribosomal RNA, 795 nt
Filed under: uncultured bacterium
Lineage: Bacteria
Description: bacterial SSU rRNA
Rfam family: Bacterial small subunit ribosomal RNA
Source: RNAcentral
AGAGUUUGAUCAUGGCUCAGGAUGAACGCUGGCGGCGUGCCUAAUACAUGCAAGUCGAGCGGUCCUUCCUUCGGGAAGGACAGCGGCGAACGGGUGAGUAACACGUGGGCAACCUGCCCGCAAGACCGGGAUAACUCCGGGAACCGGAGCUAAUACCGGAUACCUCUUCCGCCGCAUGCGGAAGAGUAAAAGGCGGCUUCGGCUGCCGCUUGCGGAUGGGCCCGCGGCGCAUUAGCUUGUUGGUGAGGUAACGGCUCACCAAGGCGACGAUGCGUAGCCGACCUGAGAGGGUGAUCGGCCACACUGGGACUGAGACACGGCCCAGACUCCUACGGGAGGCAGCAGUAGGGAAUUUUCCGCAAUGGGCGAAAGCCUGACGGAGCAACGCCGCGUGAGUGAGGACGGCCUUCGGGUUGUAAAACUCUGUUCUUGGGGAAGAAAUCCCGGGAGGCGAACAACAUCCCGGACUGACGGUACCCAAGGAGAAAGCCCCGGCUAACUACGUGCCAGCAGCCGCGGUAAUACGUAGGGGGCGAGCGUUAUCCGGAAUUACUGGGCGUAAAGCGCGCGCAGGCGGCCUGUUAAGUCGGGUGUGAAAGGCUGCGGCUCAACCGCAGAGCGGCAUCCGAAACUGGCGGGCUUGAGUGCAGGAGAGGGAAGCGGAAUUCCCGGUGUAGCGGUGGAAUGCGUAGAGAUCGGGAGGAACACCUGUGGCGAAAGCGGCUCACUGGACCACAACUGACGCUGAUGCACGAAAGCUAGGGGAGCAAACAGGAUUAGAUACCCUAGUAGUCC